UGUUUCGGCUAGGGGGCCAUCCCGGCUUACCAACCCGAUGCAAACUGCGAAUACCGGAGAAUGUUAUCACGGGAGACACACGGCGGGUGCUAACGUCCGUCGUGAAGAGGGAAACAACCCAGACCGCCAGCUAAGGUCCCAAAGUCAUGGUUAAGUGGGAAACGAUGUGGGAAGGCCCAGACAGCCAGGAUGUUGGCUUAGAAGCAGCCAUCAUUUAAAGAAAGCGUAAUAGCUCACUGGUCGAGUCGGCCUGCGCGGAAGAUGUAACGGGGCUAAACCAUGCACCGAAGCUGCGGCAGCGACACUGUGUGUUGUUGGGUAGGGGAGCGUUCUGUAAGCCGUUGAAGGUGUGUCGUGAGGCAUGCUGGAGGUAUCAGAAGUGCGAAUGCUGACAUAAGUAACGAUAAAGCGGGUGAAAAGCCCGCUCGCCGGAAGACCAAGGGUUCCUGUCCAACGUUAAUCGGGGCAGGGUGAGUCGACCCCUAAGGCGAGGCCGAAAGGCGUAGUCGAUGGGAAACGGGUUAAUAUUCCCGUACUUGGUGUUACUGCGAAGGGGGGACGGAGAAGG
Molecule: ribosomal RNA, 568 nt
Filed under: Salmonella enterica
Lineage: Bacteria; Pseudomonadati; Pseudomonadota; Gammaproteobacteria; Enterobacterales; Enterobacteriaceae
Description: partial 23S ribosomal RNA
Rfam family: Bacterial large subunit ribosomal RNA
Source: RNAcentral